UCCCUGAUAGCUCAGCGGUAGAGCACUCGACUGUUAAUCGAGCGGCCGUAGGUUCGAAUCCUACUCAGGGAGCCA
This 75-nucleotide transfer RNA is filed under the name Sphingomonas sp. RNAcentral's name for it is "tRNA-Asn". It matches the Rfam family "tRNA". From Rfam's summary of the family: Transfer RNA (tRNA) molecules are approximately 80 nucleotides in length. Their secondary structure includes four short double-helical elements and three loops (D, anti-codon, and T loops). Further hydrogen bonds mediate the characteristic L-shaped molecular structure. tRNAs have two regions of fundamental functional importance: the anti-codon, which is responsible for specific mRNA codon recognition, and the 3' end, to which the tRNAs corresponding amino acid is attached (by aminoacyl-tRNA synthetases). tRNAs cope with the degeneracy of the genetic code in two manners: having more than one tRNA (with a specific anti-codon) for a particular amino acid; and 'wobble' base-pairing, i.e. permitting non-standard base-pairing at the 3rd anti-codon position. Lineage: Bacteria; Pseudomonadati; Pseudomonadota; Alphaproteobacteria; Sphingomonadales; Sphingomonadaceae. RNAcentral also lists the same sequence under 9 other names. The record is from RNAcentral.